GUGCAGCCGCCGCGGUAAUACGGAGGGGGUUAGCGUUGUUCGGAAUUACUGGGCGUAAAGCGCGCGUAGGCGGACUAUUAAGUCAGGGGUGAAAUCCCGGGGCUCAACCCCGGAACUGCCCUUGAUACUGGUAGUCUUGAGUUCGAGAGAGGUGAGUGGAAUUCCGAGUGUAGAGGUGAAAUUCGUAGAUAUUCGGAGGAACACCAGUGGCGAAGGCGGCUCACUGGCUGGGCUGUUUCUGACGCUGAGGUACGAAAGCCAGGGGAGCGAACGGGAUUAGAUA
Molecule: ribosomal RNA, 283 nt
Filed under: uncultured bacterium
Lineage: Bacteria
Description: partial 16S ribosomal RNA
Rfam family: Bacterial small subunit ribosomal RNA
Source: RNAcentral